GGUGAGGGCAAGGGAAGGCAACGGGCCGCCCUCGCCCGCCGAAGCGGGGGAGAUCGGGGUUUAGCGGGGUGGACCUGCCGCAGCGAGGCGGGGAGCGGGUCUCGGCGCCCUUCUUCUUGAAGAUGACACCAGUUACUCGACAAGAAGUUCUUGGUCUUUACCGCAAGAUAUUCCGAAUAGCCAAGAAAUGGCAGUCGGUGUCAGGCCAGAUAGAAGAGACCAUGAAAGAGAGAGAGUACAUUGAAAGUGAAGCCAGAACCUUGUUCCGAAAAAACAAAAACGUGACGGAUCCAAAAUUGAUUAAGCAGUGUAUAGAAGAAUGUGAGGCAAGAAUAGAAAUUGGACUUCACUAUAACAUCCCCUACCCCAGACCUAUCCAUCUGCCUCCUAUGGGUCUUGCCCAUAAACAAGGACGUACGUUGCGACAUCAGGAAAAGUUAAGGAAGAUUUCUAAGCCAAUAUACCUGAAAUCCCAUGAUGAAGUUUCAUAACCCACCAUUUAAGCUGUGAUGUAUAAUCACAUGACUUAAGCUGUGGACUGUCACCCAGGUGAUUUGUGUGCACAACUGUGAAUUAACCUGUUUGGGUCACUUGCUCACAUAUUUCCUGAGGCCAAAAAGCUAACUGAUACAUGGCAGAUGAUGGGUGUUUAUUAGUCCAACAUGCAAGAGGGCAAGAGAAGGAAGUACAAUGGGAGAAAGGAAACAGGCCCAAUUUAUCACGCACCUGGGAUAUGCAGGGCACGAAUAGAUGUUUGCAUGAAGAAAUUUGGAACUUUCUCCAGGUUUCAGCCAAAUUAUGGGCAAAGAAUCAUAAAGGAUUUUUGGAAGUGAUUCUGUGAUUACCAGGGAUUCUCUACCCCAUCGUGCACCCUCCAAAAAAAGGCCUCUCACAUAAGCUCCGUCUUCUGCCAUUUUCUCCAUCGUCUGCUCCUGUUUCAUCACCUAGAAUGAUUAAACCAUGGCUUGAUUUAAUUCUUAUCUGGAGUAUAUUAAAUCCUGUAAGUGAUAGUCUGAAAGUACUCCUUUAAAUAAAAUUGGUUUUCAUUUGAAAA
RNA transcript from Apus apus (common swift), 1054 nucleotides. It is a transcript of the gene named LYR motif containing 1, with no coding region annotated. The transcript has 6 exons. The record is from RefSeq and is a predicted model, not a curated record. NCBI's taxonomy places the organism in Eukaryota, Metazoa, Chordata, Aves, Apodiformes, Apodidae.